This 865-nucleotide non-coding RNA is filed under the name Neritina violacea. Its description in RNAcentral is "12S ribosomal RNA". The stretch from base 451 to 858 matches the Rfam family "Microsporidia small subunit ribosomal RNA", at positions 752 to 1303 of the family's 1311-position model. The record is from RNAcentral. Lineage: Eukaryota; Metazoa; Mollusca; Gastropoda; Cycloneritida; Neritidae.
AUUAAGUUUGGCUCUGGCUUAUAUUAUAAGUAAACCUUUAUAAAAUACAUGGUUUUUUAUGAACAAGGCAAAGCCCAAAUAACUUUCGCUAUAGUUUAAAACUAUAAAGAUAAGUUGUUUUAGGGAUCAUUAUUUUAUACAUAAUGGCAUUAGUUUUGCUUACCCAGUAUUGAAGAUUAAAAAUAAAAGAAAUUUAGAUUUAGUAAUAGGUUUGAUUAUUCUUGGCUAAGUCUGUGCCAGCAGCUGCGGUUACACAGACAAGGAGACUUAUAAACGAAUCGGUAAAAAGGACAGUUAUAAGUUCACAAAAGUUAAAUCAUUCCAUGAAGAGGUAGAAUUCACACAUGGUUUAUUUUCCAUAAAACUUUAAAUUUAGAAGCUGUGAAAUUACUAACCAAAACCAGGAUUAGAUACCCUGCUAUUAGUAAUGUAAAUUUUUUUAUACCACCAGGGAAUUACAGAGUUCUCUCUGAAACCCAAAGAGCUUGGCGGUACCUCAAACCCCAUUAGGGGAACCUGUUCCGUAAUCGAUAAUCCGCGUAGGACCUUACUUUUCUUUAAUUAGUUUGUAUACCGUCGUCGUCAGACAACUUUUAAGAAACUAAUAGUUCUCUAUAAUAAAUUAUUUAUAGACGUCAGAUCAAGGUGCAGCCAAUAGAAAAGAGAGAAAUGGGUUACAAUUUUUAACUUAAAAUAAUGGAUCUAGGGAUGAAAUAACCUAAGGAAGGCGGACUUAAAAGUAAUCUCAGUUAGAAUAAAGAGAUGAAUAUGGCUCUGAGGUGUGCACACAUCGCCCGUCGCUCUCGCUGAAAAGUGAGAUAAGUCGUAACAUAGUAAGAGUAAUGGAAGUUGCUCUUAGUUGAAU